CAAGCGGUGGAGCAUGUGGUUUAAUUCGAUGCAACGCGAAGAACCUUACCUACUCUUGACAUCCAGAGAACUUUCCAGAGAUGGAGGGGUGCCUUCGGGAGCUCUGAGACAGGUGCUGCAUGGCUGUCGUCAGCUCGUGUUGUGAAAUGUUGGGUUAAGUCCCGCAACGAGCGCAACCCUUAUCCUUUGUUGCCAGCGAUAAAGUCGGGAACUCAAAGGAGACUGCCGGUGAUAAACCGGAGGAAGGUGGGGAUGACGUCAAGUCAUCAUGGCCCUUACGAGUAGGGCUACACACGUGCUACAAUGGCGUAUACAAAGAGAAGCGACCUCGCGAGAGCAAGCGGACCUCACAAAGUACGUCGUAGUCCGGAUUGGAGUCUGCAACUCGACUCCAUGAAGUCGGAAUCGCUAGUAAUCGUAGAUCAGAAUGCUGCGGUGAAUACGUUCCCGGGCCUUGUACACACC
RNAcentral lists this ribosomal RNA (465 nucleotides) under uncultured bacterium. RNAcentral's name for it is "bacterial SSU rRNA". It matches the Rfam family "Bacterial small subunit ribosomal RNA", at positions 926 to 1391 of the family's 1533-position model. The record is from RNAcentral.